This 375-nucleotide ribosomal RNA is filed under the name uncultured bacterium. RNAcentral's name for it is "bacterial SSU rRNA". It matches the Rfam family "Bacterial small subunit ribosomal RNA", at positions 523 to 898 of the family's 1533-position model. The record is from RNAcentral.
AUACGUAGGGUGCAAGCGUUAAUCGGAAUUACUGGGCGUAAAGCGUGCGCAGGCGGUUGUGCAAGACAGAUGUGAAAUCCCCGGGCUCAACCUGGGAAUUGCAUUUGUGACUGCACGGCUAGAGUGUGUCAGAGGGGGGUAGAAUUCCACGUGUAGCAGUGAAAUGCGUAGAGAUGUGGAGGAAUACCGAUGGCGAAGGCAGCCCCCUGGGAUAACACUGACGCUCAUGCACGAAAGCGUGGGGAGCAAACAGGAUUAGAUACCCUGGUAGUCCACGCCCUAAACGAUGUCUACUAGUUGUCGGGUCUUAAUUGACUUGGUAACGCAGCUAACGCGUGAAGUAGACCGCCUGGGGAGUACGGUCGCAAGAUUAAA